RNAcentral lists this ribosomal RNA (269 nucleotides) under uncultured prokaryote. RNAcentral describes it as "partial 16S ribosomal RNA". It matches the Rfam family "Bacterial small subunit ribosomal RNA", at positions 524 to 792 of the family's 1533-position model. The record is from RNAcentral.
UACGGAGGAUCCAAGCGUUAUCCGGAUUUAUUGGGUUUAAAGGGUGCGUAGGCGGCCCGGUAAGUUAGAGGUGAAAGCCCGUGGCUCAACCACGGAAUUGCCUCUGAUACUGUCGGGCUAGAGAAUAGUUGCUGUGGGCGGAAUGUGUAGUGUAGCGGUGAAAUGCUUAGAUAUUACACAGAACACCAAUUGCGAAGGCAGCUUUCUGGCCCAUUACUGACGCUGAGGCACGAAAGCGUGGGGAGCAAACAGGAUUAGAUACCCUGGUA